Synchiropus splendidus (mandarinfish) is the source of this 1289-nucleotide long non-coding RNA. RefSeq lists it as uncharacterized. The record is from RefSeq and is a predicted model, not a curated record. The transcript has 2 exons. NCBI's taxonomy places the organism in Eukaryota, Metazoa, Chordata, Actinopteri, Syngnathiformes, Callionymidae.
ACUAUGUUGUAAGAGGUGGUGAAAAGAGAGACUUGCAGAAGGAAUUGAUCGGGAGUUAUUGCAACAGGUGGGUUGUUCUGCUUAGCAAAGUUAAUGAAGUUCGUUCGUUUGCUUCUUCUUGGAACUCAUCCACACAACAUGCACCACCGGCAUCAUUCUCAUGUUUGGCUCGGCAAAGUAAACUCUUCAGCUGCAGAUUAAAAAGGAGGUGUGUGGUUGAAUCUGUCUUUUGGGACUAAAGAUGACGAUAGACGGUGAUGCUGCUGCUUCUGACGGUCUGUUCGGAUCCAACUGUUUAGCCCCUCCUGCAGCCAGCUGUGAGUCCGAGCUGUCGUGUGGUUUAGUCCUUCCCACAACCUCCUCAGGUCUUUCUCCUGGCUGUUUGUCUGGUUGGCUUCUGUCCAUCUUCAAAAUACAGGAUUACACGCUUUCAGAACUUCUGACCUUUUCGAUUUGACGGUGGAGCCAUUUCAUUGUUGCGUCACCCUGCCGGGCCUUGUGUCAUCGGCUGAGAGUGACACACCCCCUUCACCACUGCUGUGUUUACAAACGAGAGCGAGAAUACUCGCGUUGGUGCUGCGCGGCGUUAGCUGCCGACCUGAAAACAGCCUUCCGCGGCGGUCUUCUUCACAGCUGGUAGGAUGGCAGAGGAGUCAGGCGUCAGCACGGUCGGAGUCGGAGCGUCCACAUCACACACUCUGAAUUGCACUACGCCAUGUUUGGAGAUCACAACGUCAUGAGGGGGAACAAAACCAACUCAGGACUCGCUAGUCCAUUCGUCCCCUCUGCCCCUUCACCACCAGCACUGCAGGCGACUUUGCCCGCCCCUCUGACUCCAUCAGGCAGUCAGGAUGUUGAAGACUCCACUGACUGACUCACACACGAUCUCUGCACUCUCCCUGCUUUGGACCAGCACCAAAUACUCUACCUCAAUUACACGCUCACCGGGACACAGCAGCCUCACUACAGGGGAUAAUAAUGAGACUAUAUAUAUAUAUAUUUAUAUAUUUAUAUUAUUUAACAGUUUGCUCUCUAGACAACACAGAACCUUUGUAAGUGCAGGAGUUCCUGGUCCACUGAUCACACUGAUGCGCAAGACACGUGGCAGCUAGGACGAUAACAACAACAACAAACAUGGAGGAAUCCCUGAACAAAAGCUAGUGAUGUUUUUCACUACCACUCUGAAUGUAUUCGAAAUUCAUAUAAAAUUGAAAUUCUUAUUCUAAUAUCUUUUCAAGAUAUUAAAAGAGCUUUAGUUUAAAUAAGCUGAUAUAAACACUUGAAUAUAG